AUGGCCACAUCAUAUUGAAACACCAGUUUCUAUAUGAUCACCAAAGUUAAGCAAUAUUAAGUCUGGUCAUCACCUAGAUGGGUGACCACUUGGGAAUACCAGGUGCAGUAAG
Acanthosepion pharaonis is the source of this 112-nucleotide non-coding RNA. Lineage: Eukaryota; Metazoa; Mollusca; Cephalopoda; Sepiida; Sepiidae. The record is from the annotation of a GenBank genome assembly.